This 305-nucleotide ribosomal RNA is filed under the name uncultured Hyphomicrobiales bacterium. RNAcentral's name for it is "bacterial SSU rRNA". It matches the Rfam family "Bacterial small subunit ribosomal RNA", at positions 25 to 358 of the family's 1533-position model. The record is from RNAcentral. Lineage: Bacteria; Pseudomonadati; Pseudomonadota; Alphaproteobacteria; Hyphomicrobiales.
CAGAACGAACGCUGGCUCCAGGCCUAACACAUGCAAGUCGAGCGCCGUAGCAAUACGGAGCGGCAGACGGGAGAGUAACACGUGGGAACGUGCCCUUUGGUUCGGAACAACCCAGGGAAGCUUGGGCUAAUACCGGAUAAGCCCUUACGGGGAAAGAUUUAUCGCCGAAGGAUCGGCCCGCGUCGGAUUAGCUAGUUGGUGAGGUAAUGGCUCACCAAGGCGACGAUCAGUAGCUGGUCUGAGAGGAUGAUCAGCCACACUGGGACUGAGACACGGCCCAGACUCCUACGGGAGGCAGCAGUGGG